GAUGAACGCUGACAGAAUGCUUAACACAUGCAAGUCAACCUGAACUUCGGUUUGGGUGGCGGUCGGGUGAGUAACGCGUAAGGAACUUUCCUCACAGAUAGGGACAACAUUUGGAAACGAAUGCUAAUACCUGAUAUUAUGAUUUUAGGGCAUCCUUGGUUUAUGACAGCUAUAUGCGCUGUGAGAGAGCUUUGCGUCCCAUUAGCUAGUUGGAGAGGUAACGGCUCACCAAGGAGAUGAUGGGUAGCCAGCCUGAGAGGGUGAUCGGCCACAAGGGGACGGAGACACGGCCCUUACUCCUACGUGAGGCAGGAGUGGGGAAUAUUGGACGAAGGACCAAGAGUCUGAUCAAGCAAUUCUGUGUGGACGAUGAAGUUUUUCGGAAUGUAAAAUGCUUUCAGUUGGGAAGAAAAUAAUGACGGUACCAGCAGAAGAAGUGACGGCUAAAUACGUG
This 454-nucleotide ribosomal RNA is filed under the name uncultured bacterium. RNAcentral describes it as "partial 16S ribosomal RNA". It matches the Rfam family "Bacterial small subunit ribosomal RNA", at positions 28 to 507 of the family's 1533-position model. The record is from RNAcentral.